CCUUGUAGCAGCUUGCGACUGUGGGGAGAGCACUUUCCCUUCCUUUAUAGGAUGGAAUGUGAUGUCACAUAGAGCGUCUUCAUGAAGAGGCAGAAAGGAGGUUUUCAAGUUUCCGGCCGCUCGCCUCAGCCACCUGGCUAGAGGGGGCCGUGGGAGGAGAAGAAACGGAUGAAAUGCUCUUAUGAAGGCUUCAGGAGGAACAUAGAGGCAGAGCUGCUUUUGAAGGCGAAGCACUACGACUGAGGUCAGUAACGCCCCCUUCCAAUUAUGCAUGCUCUCAAACUGUCCUCCCAGAACCUGAAUUUGAAAUGCUUGGUGCAAAGCCAAAGUUUCUACAAACUGCCGAGCAUUUUCACCCCCAUGCAGAGACAGAAACAAUUCAUUAUUCGCCUCGCAGUUCCGAUCUCUCCCUUCGUGAGCUAGCUGUAAAAAGCUAUAGUGAUCUGAUAAAAAUUUUUGAACAUGAGCUAUCCCAGGCAAAAAUGGCUUUAUGUUUGAGCAAGAUAAGAGAGAGUCUAGUGCUUUUAAAAAUCUCUAAAAACGCCAUUUUGCCUUCUCCUUCAGAGCCAAAGACACACACCCUGGUGGAUUUUGUGUCAGGCCAAUCAGAACAGAGAGCUGUGCACACGUCACAUGUGUCACAUGAUCAUCUCUAUUCUCAAAUUACAAAUGCCACGAAUGCAGAAAGAUUACCUGAGCUGCCUAAAACUGAAGUUGUAGCACCAUCUGCUGGCAAAACUAAUUCACUAGAGAAAGUUGAAAUGCACCGCAUCUUGAGAGAACAAUUACAAUUAUUGCAGAAGACUCUAUCAGAGAUGUCUUUAACUCACUCAGAUAUUCAGGCUGCAAUGCCACAAGUGUCUCCACAGGCUCAAUUUCCAGCACCCCCUGGUGGUGCUGGUGUCCUUUUAGAUGGAACACAACAAAGCUUAAUGCAGCAAAGGCAAAUGACUGGGUGUCCAGCAGGCCAUGUUAAUAUUGCAGCUCAAAUGCCACAGCUCCAACCAUAAAUGCAUGCACACGUGCCUCCAGCUGUACAACCAGGGCCAAUUCCUGGUCCACAUCAAGCACAGCAAAUACCACAGGUAUUUUUACCGGCACGGCCAGCAUACCAAAUGCAUAUUCCUCACCAGGCAUUUUCUGUUGCUCCACUAGCUGGUGUAUUGAAAUUAAAGAUGACAGGACAGAAUUAUAAGGCCUGGGUCAGUGAGAUUGGAUUGUUACUUCGCAGAGAAGGUACUCACUGUAUUGUUUUUAAUCCUCCUGCUCAGCCAUGGACUCCUGCAAUAAGAGACUUAGACAACAUGCACAACAUUAUUGAUGUCCAUGGAUACUGAACUGCAGGUUACCUUUCCGCCUGAUGCAACAGCCCAACAAAUUUGGGUCCAAUUGGAAAAUUGCUACAGGCCAGUUUCAAUUGAAUCUUCAUGUUUGCUCAUGUACGAGUUCCAUGGUUCGAGAUUGAAACCUGGUGAACAAAUUAGAGGACAUUUGACCAAACUGAAAGGAAUCAGAAGAGAAUUGAGAGAAAGAGGCUAUAAUAUUGAUGAUAUUCAAAUGAUCAGCAUUAUUAUUAACUCACUGAAUUAUGAAUGGAAAGAUGCCAUUACAAAGAUUAAUCUAGUGCCCAUUGCUCAACGCACAGUGGACAAUGUAUGCAGACUUUUAACUGAAGAAGAAGCACUUAUGUUAGCCACUCCACAUUUGAGAGGACCACCCGCAUCAAGAGCUCCAGCUAGGCGCCCCUUCCGAGGAAGGACCUACGCUCCAAGGAUGCCAAGAUGCUACAUCUGAAAUCGUGUGGGACAUGCCACCCGGGAUUGUCCCCAACGAGUUCCAGCUCCCGUCCCAUACCAGCCCAGAGGAACAGACUCCAGAGGCAGAGGCGGAAGACAAGGUUGUCAUGGUCCCCAACAUGAUUCGCAAGCUCCACUCGCCACAUUGGCUUUAACCAAUGAUCCACAACCUCAACCAGAGUAUGACAGACGACUCCUGUGGACUUUGGACAGUGGUGCAGCGUUGCAUGUUACCUACAGAAAGGAACUUUUCACAGAGAUGCACGAGCCUGAACCUGAACUACGUGAACUUUAUUCUUUUUCCAAUCAUCCUUGUCAGGUCAAAGGAAAAGGAACUGUUUAUGUUAAAGAGCUCGAUGCAUUCAUUCCUGAUGUUUAUUAUAUACCAACAGCAACUAGUAAUUUGCUUAGUCAGAGUCACUUGUCUAGAGCAUUAAAGUUCCAGGUUCACCACCUUGAGAAAGCAAGUUACAUAGUUAAAGAUGAAGAUAUUGUUGCUGAAACCAUGUUAAUUGGUGGUGUUUAUUACUUAAAGCCAAAGCCUAAACCGCAAACACAGGCGAGUAUACCAGAAGAGGAGAGCACAGGCCCAGAGAGAGAUGCUCCAGUGAGAGAUCAUAUUGCUACUCCAAAGGCUUCUAAAGCCAACAAAAUGAAAAUUAGGAAACAGGUUGCUCAGAGCAAGCCUGAGGUUCCUCAUAAAAAUGUUAAUGUUGAGAAUUCACUAACUGGUAAACCUUUGCAUUCCAGGUGUAUCCAUAAAUGGCAUAGAAGAUUGGGGCAUGCCAGUUUCCGUGUUCUUAGGAAGAUGCCGGAGUUCGCUAAAGGUUUGGAUCUAAAGGGAUGUAAGGUGUUUUUGGAUUGUGCUGUAUGCAAAAAGGCCAAAUCCAAAGCAGCAGCCCUUCCCAAACGCGCUACACGCCCAUCAACACGCAUUUUUGAUUUGGUUCACACUGACAUAGUUGGUCCUUUUCCGCCAACGCUUAGUGGUAGAAAAUAUUUUCUAACAAUUGUUGAUAAUUAUUCUAGAUAUGGAUAUGUAUAUCCUAUGAAAGAAAAAUCUGAGACUUUUCAGAUCUUUAAAGACUUUGCUGCUCUUGUCUCUACCCAACACCAAGUUCGCAUCGCCAGAAUCCAGAGUGAUUGUGGUGCUGAAUCCAUGUCUCAGCGUUUCCAGGAUUGGAUGCGUAAGAAUGGAAUUCUUCACCAGACGUCGGCUCCUUACACACCGGCUCAUAAUGGGGUCGUAGAGAGACAACAAGGGGUACUGCAAACCAUGAUGAGUUGUCUCCUAGAAGACGCCAACCUUAGUAACCCAUACUGGGGUGAAGCUAUCAAAUAUGCAAAUUACAUUGUCAACCGUACUUGGAGCAGUGUAAUAAAUCAGACUCCUUUCUUCAUGAUGUAUGGCUACAAGCCUGAUCUCAAAAACAUCCAUAUUUUUGGUUUAUAUGCUAUGGUGAACAUUCCCUUAGCUCAAAGAAGAAAAGGAGGUCCAGCAGCAAAGAGACUGAGAUUUAUGGGUAUUGAUGAUAACUCAAAAUGGAGCAAAUUUAUUGACUCUAAACAUGUAAUUGUGAUUUCCCAAUCUGCUAAUUUUGAGGAAGAUAUUGACUGGUCCAGGAUUCAUCCAAUGAUCGUGGAGUUUAUUUUCCUAGAGAUGAUACUGCUGAUGCUGCGCAGAUUGAUGAUCAAGAUUCCACUAGUUCUUCUCAACCUGAUGUUCCGUCUUCGCAAGCCGCGGAUGCUGAUGCUAGCGACAAAUGUGAGGAUGAGGACAAAGCGGAAGAAGACUGGACUGUUGUUCCGAGACGUUCCAAGAGGUCACAAAGGGAAUCCCUCAGAGGGAUUCCCUCCACAACGAUAUUCUUGGCAACUGACAAAAACACCCUUACGUUUGAUUUGCAAUGUUACACUUCCACCUGAUACGUUCACGCAAAUCAAACAUCUUCCUGAUUCAGAGCAAGACAAAUGGUAUGAAGCAAUGCAGGUUGAAAUGGACAGUCUAAAGCAACUUAAAGUGUUUACACCUACAAAACCUCCAGCAAACAAAAGGGUCAUUGGCACUCGUUUUUGCAUUUACCAGAUGAGUCAUAUUUUUGGACUUUAAGACUUUCCGUAGCUUGCCAAACUUCUUAUCAGUAAGCUAACUACGCAUGUCUGCAUUCCUUUCUUUCUACUUCUACACUUUCUUUGUUCUCUUGCCAAGAAGUCCGGCUGCUGAGAGGUAGCCGGCAGGAACGUUGCCAAAAUGUAAUUAUUUAUAUAGUUAGAUGUUUUAUUUUCUUUAUAACAAAUAAAUGAGUUUUUCCUUAGAAAAAUAUAUCUUCGGGUUUUAUUUUCUUAAAGUAUGCACAAGGAAAAUGUCACGAUCCACGUCUCUAAAUCAAGGUGCGAUUACCCAAAAGCAGAAUGGGAUUAAUUAGCACCCUGACAGAUUUGUCCAGUUCUUCUUUUUUUCUUUAAUAUUCUUCCUUCCUUGCUUCAUCAAAGUCCCAACUUUUCUUUCUAUAGAGUGUCACACUCUAUAGAAGUCAUUGCUUGCACUGUUCUGAUUUAAAUGAAUACAACUAUCCCUGUUGUAUAUUCAAUAAUAAGGACUGUUCAAGUAUUAAUUGCUUUAAUGUUUUCACCAUUUAGCUUUGAUUUCAAAAUUUUCCAACUCACUGUAUUUUCUUUGACUUGAUUCUGUGAUAAAUCGGAAGACUCCAAAAUUACCAAAUAUUUGUAACCGCUUUGUUCCACUUCUUACAAAAUCUUCAUUGUUAAGCAUAUUCUAUCAUCUUCAACAAUCUUACUUGCCUUUAUGGUUAUGGUUGUAUAUAUGUUAAUACAAUAUUGUACUUCAUAUCUUUACUGAAUCCGUAGUGAUCUUUUUUAAUAAGGAAUCUAGUUCAGCCUUUGUUCUUCCAAGUAAUUUUAAAUCAUCAAUAUUGAGUAAAUGUGAAUUUUUUACUUUGUUUUCGCAAAUGUAUAUUCACAGUUUGUCUUGUUCAAACUUGUUUUCAGCAAGACCAUUGAGAGUGCAAACAAUAAUGGUGAUAAUGAGUCAUCUUGGAAAAUUCCACAUUUGAUUUUGACUUCUAACCCAUUAGCCGUCAGCUUCGUUCACCAAAACUUCAUUGAAGUAUUCAUAAACCAGCCUGCUUUCCAUUGAGGACCUGUGUCAGGUCCCAGAUAUUUCUACAGGGAUGCUGGCAUUUUGGUGGGAGGAAGAGGGGAGGAAUGGAGUGAUCUGAUUAUGAAGUUUUUGUUUCCUGCACUACUGUGCUAAUCUCUAUAUGAAGUUUCUGUUUCUGUUUCUUGCAUUACUCUGUGUUAAUCUCAAUAUGAAGUUUCUGUUUCCCUGCAGUGAUGUAGUGUGGGAGGGGCUUGGUUAGCAUUGCUUUAAGUAGCUGGUUUUAAGUGAAAAGCUUCAGUUCUUGCCUAGAUCUCUUGUUAUCACAAACCUUUCAAUAAAAGCUCCUUUUGGAAUAACUGCAGUUUCAAGAGUCCUGCUUUCUUGGGAAGAUUGGAGAGGCAAGACCUUACAACCUGUAUAUUGCACAACCAGAAAGACGACUGAGAAAAUAUCUUACAUACCCCUCACUUCCUGGACAUAAACUGUUUCAACACCUCCCCUCAGGACUCUUCUAUAGGGCAUUCCAUGCCAAAAUAAUGGGUUGUUUGUAUGUACACUGAGACCUCAUGCACCAGAGACAAAUCCCCAUGUAUGUUCAAUCACACUUGGCCAAUAAAGAAUUCUACUCUACUCCACUCCUUAAAACCAAUUUGUCAAUCAAACUCAUCCUUCAUUCCUUUCAAACUUUUGCAACGUUCUUUUUAUUCUACAGGAAAUAAAUCAUUUCUUUUCAAAUAACUAGAUUUGAUUUGCAAUUAUGCCUGUAAGAGAAUUUGUUAUUGCAAACAGUUAUGUGUCUGUAGUAUCUAUGCUCAUUUUCCUUCUCUUUCUUUUUCUGAGAAAUGGGAAUGUUCUUCCAGUUGCUAGCCAGUUUCCAUUUUCUACAGCUUCCAAAAUUAUAUUCAUCAGAAUCCCAACCUCAAGUGUGGAUUUGUCAGUGAUUUUAGCCAGAAUCCAUGGAGCUCAUCUGGUUCAGGAGCACUCCAGUUUUUUACCUUCUCUGAUUGCUUUCAUACUAUUUCUUCAGCCAUCCUAAUCUCUUCCAUACUGAGUACUUUCAGCUUGGUUGACCCAUUUUGCAUUCCCAGUGUGACUCCUGUUGUUUUCCCACAAACCUUUCUCUAAAGCUUUAUCUUCCAAAGUUUUUUUUUUAAUUUUUCAAACAAAAAACAACAUAAAAGCAUCAUCCUUUCAAACAAUUACAGACAGUGUUUCAGUCGGUUAAUAUUUUCGUGCUCACAAACUCUUCAAGAUAUCAAUAUAUGACACGUUUCUUUUCCACUAAGAAAAAGACAAAUUUUUACACAUUUUAUCUUAAUUUCAUUUCAUAUAUCAUAUUUCAUCUCCAUGUUUUAUUACCUAUCCAUUGAUAAAAUAAAUCCCAUAUCAAAUAAUAUUGUUUAUCUUCCUGUUCUCUUAUUUCAAAUGUCAAUUUACUCAUUUCAGCACAAUCCAACAUUUUCUUAAUAAUUUCUUCAUCAAUAGGUAUCUUCUCUCCUUUCCAAUUUUUGGCAAAUACAAUUCUAGCUGCUGUUAAAACAUUCACAAUUAAAUAUUGCAGUUCUUUAUUAAAUGUCUCUGGUAAGAUCCCUAAUAAAAAUGUCUCUGAUUUAAAAUCAAUAUGUCUCUUUGUCAUUUUUUCCAAAAAUGUGUGUAUCUAAUAUCUCCUUGCUUCUACGCAUGUCCACCACAUAUGGUAAUAUGAUCCUGGGGUCUGAUGACAUUUCCAACACUUCUUCAAUUUAUUCUUAAACAUUCUGGCUAUCCUCGCCGGGGGUAGAUGCCACCUGUAAAACAUCUUAUACAAAUUCUCCUUAUAUGCUGUAGACAUUUUCAUUUUAUAAUUAUGCAACCACCAUUUUUGCCAUUUCUCUAAAUCAAUAGAGAAGUACUACCAAGAGCCUUGGUAGUACAGGGGUUUAAGGCACCCUGUUAUUAAGCUGGUUAUUAAGACCAGCUGCCUGCAAUUACUGCAGGGUUCGAAUCUCGCCAAGGCUCAAGGUUGACUCAGCCUUCCAUCCUUUCUAAGGUAGGUGAAAUGAGGACCCAGUUUGUGGGGACAAUAAGCUGACUUUGUAUAAAUAUACAAAAGGAUGAAGGCUAUUGCUGAGCACAUUGUAAGCCGCCCUGAGUCUUCGGAGAAGGGCGGCAUAUAAAUCAAAUUAAAAAAAAAAAAAUACCGUAACCAAAUUUUUUCCCCCACGCUAUCAUUGAUUCUUUAACUUGUUCUUCUUCCAAUUUUACUUCUAGCAAAUAUCCGUAUAACUUUUUAAUUACAUGGUCAUCUGAACCCAUUAAAAUCUUAUCUAAAUUAGUCAAAACAUUAUAAAAACCUUCUUGUUUGAGAUCUUCUCGAUAUCUAGAAACUAUUUGCAUAUAUGAAAACCAGUCCAUCUUACAUCCCUGAUCUUCUAAUUCCUGCUUUAAUUUAAGUUCCCCCUUUUCAUCCAAUAAUUCACUAUAUCUAAUAAUUUGUUCCCUUUUAUAUAUUACUGGAUAUGAAAAAGCUUCAAUUGUAGAUACCCAGACUGGAAUCUUCAGAUAGUGAUUUUUUUUAGCCUUCUCCCAAUUCAACCAGAAAGCUUCCUGUAUCUGAUGUCUUCUAAAGUACCCCUGUAUUUUAGUUCCUUUAUACCAUAGAAAGACAUGCCAUUCCAUCAACAAAUCAUGUCCCUCCAAGUUCAAUAAUCUAGUAUUUCUCAAAGUUAUCUAUUCUUUAAUCCACAUUAAACUUGUUGCUUGAUAGUAUAGUUCAAAGUUAGGCAGGCCAAAGCCACCCCUCAUUUUAGCAUCUUGUAACAACUUUAAUUUUAUUCUCGUCUUCUUUCCCUGCCAAAUAUAUUUCAAUAUCAUUUUAUUCAAAUCUAUAAAGAAUUCCUUACACAACUUGAUCGGGAUUGUCUGAAAUAGAUACAAAAUUCUAGGCAAAAUGUUCAUCUUAAUCAUUGAGAUCCUACCAAUCAAAAAUAGCUGCAAAUUUCCCCAUUUCAUCAAAUCUUGCCCUAUUUGUUCUUUAAGCUUAUUAUAAUUAUUUUCUUUAAGUGUGCUACACCUUGCUGUCAAAUAGAUGCCCAAAUAUUUUACCUUAUUUGUAACCUGCAUCUUUGAAAUCUCCAUCAAUUCCUCUUUUUGCUUUUUCAAUGUAUUUUUAGUCAUUAUCUUAGUUUUAUCUUUAUUAAUUUUCAAGCCAGCUACUUUCCCAAACUCUCCAAUAGAUUCUAUCAAUUUAUUUAUUGUUAUUAAUGGUUCCUCAAUAAUAAAGACCAGGUCAUCUGCAAAGGCUUGUAAUUUAUAUUCUUCUUUUCAUAUUUUCAUACCUUUUAUCUCUUUUUCUUCUCUGAUAUUUCUAUUUAAAACUUCUAAAGUCAAUAUAAACAACAAUGGGGACAACGGAUAUCCUUGUCUAGUACCUUUUUCUAUUUCAAUAGAGUCAGUCAAUUCACCAUUUAUCAUUACUUUUGCCAUCUGUUUAAAAUAUAUAGCUUCAAUUGCCUGGAUAAAUUUCCUACCAAAGCCCAUCUCUUCCAUUUGAAGUAUCAUAAAUUGCCAGUUAACAUUGUCAAAAGCUUUUUGUGUAUCUAAAAAUAUCAACACCAUCUGCUUUUCCGGAUGUGCUUCGUAGUAUUCUAAAGUAUCCAGAAUUAUUCUUUUAUUAUCUCUAAUUUGUCUUUUUGGGAGAAAUCCAUUCUGAUCUGUAUGUAUAAAAUUAUUCAGGUAUCUCUUAAGUCUUUCUGCCAGUAUUGUAGCAAAAAUUUUGUAAUCUGAAUUUAGCAGGGAAAUAGGCCUAUAAUUUUUGAUUUGUUGUGGGUCUGUAUCUUCCUUAUGAAUCAAUGUAAUGUACGCCUCAGUCCAUGAUUUGGGUAUUUUCUUCUUUAUCAUCACUUCAUUCAUGACAUCCAGUAAUGGGAGACUUAAAGAUUCUUGUAAUGUCCUGUAAUAUUCAACAGGUAAGCCAUCUGGUUCUGGUGCCUUUCCAUUCUUCUGUUUCUUAAUUGCUUCUGUUAAUUCCAUCAUUGUUAUAUUCCCCUCCAACAUCUCUUCAGUAUCUUUGGGAAUCCGAGGUAAUUUUGCAUCUUGUAGAUAUCUUGCCACUUUUUCCUCCUCUAUCAUCUCUCUUUUGUGAAGUUGUCUAUAAUAUUCUUGUAUUAUUUUCCCCAUCUCUUUAUUUCCAAAUUUACUUUGCCCUUGAUCAUCAACUAGUUAAAUUAUUUUUCUUGAUUCUCUUUCUUUUUUCAAUUUAUAUGCUAGCCAUCUUCCUGGUUUAUUCGCAUUUUCAAAGUAAUUCUGUUUUGCACUUCUUAUUUUUUGGGGUAAAUCUUCUUUCUCCAAUAGGUCCAUUUUAUGUUUUAUUGUGUCCAUUUUAAUUUUGAUAUCUUUCUUAUAUGGACCUUUCUGGAGUUCCUUUUCAAGUCUUUUAUAAUCGUCAAUCAAUAUUUUAAAGUUCUGUCUUUUCUUAACAUUUCCUUGUAUAGUCUAUGAUUAAUCCUCUGGCAUAGGCCUUCAUUGUAUCCCAAUGAUUUUGUGCCGAUGUUUCCUUCUUGUUUUCUUUAAAGAAGUCCAACUCUCUUUCCAUUUUCUGUACAAAAUCUUUCUCUUUUAAUAUUGUGGUAUUUAAAGUCCAUCUAGAUCUUCUUUUACGCCCUUUCCAUAUAAAUGUCACCAGAUUAUGAUCUGCCCAUAAAUUAGGUUUUAUUUCCACAUGUUCUAUAUUCAACAUCAAAUCCAUUGUUGUCCAUAUCAUAUCUAGUCUGGACUAUCAUACAUAUAUUAUCAUAUUCCAUUUCAAUUAUUUUGUUACGUAAUUUUCUAUAAAAGUCUCUUUGAUUGUCAUUUGGAGCAUAUAUUGCUACUAGAAGAAUUUUCAUAUUAUUAUCUAUUAAUUCCACUAUCAGAAUUCUACCUUCUUCGUCUGCAUAUUUUUGCUCCACCAAUAUUACAUUUUUGAUAUAUAAGGCAACUCCUCUCUUUUUACUUUGUGAUAGUAAUAGAAAAGUUCUUCCAAGUUUUGGUUGUAUCAAUAGUUGUUCAUGCUGUUUUUUAAUAUGCACUUCUUGUAAACAAAUUAUGUCAAAUUUUAGUUUCUCUAAUUUAGUCCAUUUACAUUUAUUGAAAUUAAUUUCCUUUCUUCCAUGUUCAUACUUCAUAUGUAGGUUUUGUUGCUCUAGAUGAUCUUACUUCACGUUGUUCCUUACGUUCCACAACCCCACCGACAGCUCCUUCUGUUGAUUCAAGCAUUGCCAGUUCUUCUUCUGUGAAUGUAAUUGGAACUACUGCAGCUUGUGUUUCAACUUGGAUUACUACUUCUUUUUCUUUAAGAAGUUCAUCGUAAAAAGCUCUUGCUUUCUCAGUUGUAUUCAACCUACAUCCUUGGAGCUGCCAUGUGAAAGUUAAUCCUUCUGGGACCAGUCAUCUAUAGUUAACUCCUUUUUGAAUCAAGAUUUUUUGUCAAGAAUUGGCAUUCUCUUCUCAGCUCUCUAAUCUUUCUUGGUAUUUGUUUCAAGACAGCCACUUCUUUCUCCUUGUACUUCAGGGUUUUUUCUCUAGCUGCCUGAAGUAUUUGUGUUUUAAUCAAUUUCUUGGUAAAUCUUAUGUGUACUUCUCUUGGCAGUUUGUUGCGCAUAGCAUAUCUGGUAUAAACUCGAUAAAUUUUGUCCACCCCAUCCAUCAUUUUCUCUUUAGUGAUUUCUAGCUCCUCAGCCAGCAAAUUAAUCAUAAUAUCCGCCAAAUUUUCUCCUUUUUCUUCCUCCACAUUUUGGAAUCUCAAAUAAAAUUCCCCUUUGUCCAUCUCCCAUCCAAUAAAACCACUUGUUUCUUGUUCAACCUCUCCCAAUCUAUUCUCUAUUUCUUUUAUUUUUUCCACGUUUUGAUCAUCUCUCUUCUCUAGUUUUGACAUUCUUUCUUCAUAUUUUAACAUUGUUUGCUGAAUACUGAUCACUUUUUCAUCCAUUUUAUGAACUUUCUCAUCUGUCUUAAGUAGUUGUUGUUCCAUUCUUAAAACUGUUUGAAAAAUCAUUUGUAGUGAUGGGUCUUUCUCCUUCUCUUGCUGCAACAUUGCUUGUAUAGAUCUUUGUCCUUCGGAUGGUGAUGAGAAAGGCGUGGAGGCAGCAACUCCCACUGUUGCUACUUUUCUGCUCAUUUUGUUGAAUAUCCAGCCAAAGCAACGUCCAGGAAAAAAAACAAGUUUUAAAAAGAAAAGGCCAAGCAAAUAAAAAAGAAAAAAGUGUCCAUCUAAGCAGUCAAACCAAUCUCUUUAAUUUUUUUUCUUUUAAAAAGGCAGAGUUUAAAAAAUUAGCAAUGCUAAUCUUCUCACUUCAAUCCAGUCCCGGGCUAUAGUGAAAGUGAAACACUUAAGUCUUUCGAAUUAGAUAAUUGGGUAUUAGAAGAAAAACUUUUCCCAGGUCAUUUCGCUGCUUCUCUCUUACUCUCUAUCUCCAGCUUCAAAAUCUUUUUCCUUUAGAGUGUUCUUUGUAUCAUUUAAAGAAGUAAAGAUUCUCUCACCGAUCCGAUUUACUGUCUUUCAUUCCUCUCUUCCUGAAACUGCCCCAGCCUCGGCAGCCUAUGGCUGCUGCUCCGCCGCCAGAAAAAGAGCUUUCCUGGAUCAACCAGGGACUUUGCGAUGUCCCUGGGAUCCACAGGAUGUGCUCUCCACUACCACAGUCAAAACUAGACUGUGGGGUCUGAGAUGGACCAUCCAGCAGCGGAGUUAUCGGCAGGAAUUCUGGAGCCCCAGAAAUUCCUGUCAUCUCGCAGAGGCAUCAGCUUCCAGCAUUCCCUCUAAAGCUUUAUGAAGCUUUCCAUUAUUUGUGAUUGGUCCUUUCUCAUUAUCGAUGGAUUUGUAGAAUUGAUGCUGAUUUGGUCUAAACUGCAAAUUCUGCUGAAAUUGAAUUAUUUGAUUGUCAUAGCACUUGAUUUUCCUUGUAAUAACAAUGACUCUAUUAUUAUGGUUCACAGUUACUAAAGUAAUAAAAAAAUAACUAUGACCAGUCUUCUCAUUUAUGACCUUCAGGUCUGAAAGCAAAGGCAAGCUGAAGUUAAGUCCGUAAGCAUAGUGAUAGGUCUUAUUUAGCUAUCAACAACAACUGAAUUGCUGGUCCCAAUUGUGAUAACUAACUUAAGGACUAUUGCUAGUUAUUUUCUACUAUGUUUUUGAAACAUAAGAGAUUGGCAGUGAAGCCUCUUUAAUAGAAUGAUCUAAAUCAUUUAGCAAAAUUAAGGUGUUGCUUCAAACCAUAAUUUAGUAUAAAAUCUGAAUUUUAAAAACCGUGGUUUGUAGCAGCUUCACAGCAGGAGGAGUUGCUGGGCAUAGAUAGAAACAUCCAGGAUCUUGGAUGCUGCAUGACAUCUAUCCUUGUUCCAUGAUCUUGACAGUUUUCUUGCUGAAUUCGAUAGACGCCUGCUGCAGCCAGCCCAGGUGUGUGAUAUUUUCAAAGGUGUAAUACUUGUAAUUUGCUACUUCAUGAU
Molecule: non-coding RNA, 12378 nt
Organism: Pantherophis guttatus
Lineage: Eukaryota; Metazoa; Chordata; Lepidosauria; Squamata; Colubridae
Source: RefSeq, a predicted model, not a curated record